Molecule: ribosomal RNA, 213 nt
Filed under: Bambusicola sp. (in: ascomycete fungi)
Lineage: Eukaryota; Fungi; Ascomycota; Dothideomycetes; Pleosporales; Bambusicolaceae
Description: Bambusicola sp. (in: Fungi) partial large subunit ribosomal RNA
Source: RNAcentral
AAGCGCUUGCAGUCAGACUUGCCCGUAGUUGCUCACCUAGGCUUUUGCCUGGGGCACUCUUCUGCGGGCAGGCCAGCAUCAGUUUGGGCGGCCGGACAAAGACCUCUGUCAUGUAUCUUCCUUCGGGAUGACCUUAUAGGGGAGGUGUAAUGCGGCCAGCCCGGACUGAGGUCCGCGCUUUUGCUAGGAUGCUGGCGUAAUGGCUGUAAGCGG